AGCUGGCUGGUCCCAUGAGGUGACUUCUGCCCAGUGCUCUGAUUGUCAAUGCGAAGAGAUUCAGCCAAGCGCGGGUAAACGGCGGGAGUAACUAUGACUCUCUUAAGGUAGCCAAAUGCCUCGUCAACCAAUUAUUGACGCGCAUGAAUGGAUCAACGAGAUUCCUGCUGUCCCUAGUUGCCGUCUGGUGAACCAACAGCCAAGGGAACGGGCUUGGAUGUGUCAGCGGGGAAAGAAGACCCUGUUGAGUUUGACUCUAGUUUGAUGCUGUGCAACGACAUGGAGGGUGUAGCACAGGUGGGAGGCGAGUGCCAUUGCCACUAUCAGCUGUGUGCUGAGUCGUCUGGGGAAAGAAGAGAUUGCCACUGGUGCAAACCAGCAGUGAAAUACCACUACCUUCACCGUCGUUUUACUCAUCGAGUGAUCUGGGAUCGGCGGCCAUUCAAUCAGCUCUUCCCUCGCGGAGGGGCUGUGGCCAAGAACCGCUUCGUGCACCAAGUGCUGCACCUCGGUGUGGCGCGACCCUGGAGUUGCAUUCCAAUCAGAAGCCUUGAGACAUUGAUCAGUUGGGGAGUUUGGCUGGGGCGGCACGCCUGUUACAGGACAACGCAGGCGUCCUGAAGCAAUGCUCAGAUGGAACAGAAAUCUCUCAUGGAGGAGCAGGCCAAAGGUGCUGCUGAUGCUGCGACUUUCAGUGCAAGUCCAAAACGUGCAAGUGUGGCCUAGCGAUCCUUUGGUUGAGUGCACGAGUUUGGGAUAUUGAAGCCAGAGGUGUCAGAAAAAUUACCACAGGGAUAACUGGCUUGUGGCUGCCAAGCGUUCAAAGCGACGUCGCUUUUUGAUCCUUCGAUGUCGGCUCUUCCUAGCUUCCCACCCGCAGCCGAGUGGAAGAGUUGGAUUGU
This 902-nucleotide ribosomal RNA is filed under the name Trachelomonas sp. Jakeun052407A. RNAcentral's name for it is "LSU rRNA". It matches the Rfam family "Eukaryotic large subunit ribosomal RNA", at positions 2172 to 2932 of the family's 3401-position model. The record is from RNAcentral. Lineage: Eukaryota; Euglenozoa; Euglenophyceae; Euglenales; Euglenaceae.